CGUCUAUAUACGUAUAGCAUAUCAAUAAGCGGAGGAAAAGAAACUAACCUAGGAUUCCCUCAGUAACGGCGAGUGAAGCGGGAAGAGCUCAAAUUUGAAAUCUUCAAGGUUCUACCUUGACGAAUUGUAGUUUAAAGAAGUGUUUUCUGUUGGAGUUUUGGUAAAAGUUCUUUGGAAUAGGACAUCAUAGAGGGUGAGAAUCCCGUAUUUGACCAUUAUUUCCAACUUUGUGAUACACUUUCAAAGAGUCGGAUUGUUUGGGAAUGCAGUCCAAAAUGGGUGUAAAUUUCAUCUAAAGCUAAAUACUGGCGAGAGACCGAUAGCGAACAAGUACCGUGAGGGAAAGAUGAAAAGAACUUUGAAAAGAGAGUUAAACAGUACGUGAAAUUGUCAAAAGGGAAGCGUUUGACACCAGUGUUGUUUUCUCGAAAAUCAAUUAAAAAUGACAUGAUUUUGUGUUGUAUUGACCUUUAUCAGCUUUCUUCACUCUUUUCCUAUCUUUUUAAUGCACUUUUCGUUUAACAAGUCAACAUCAGUUUCUUUUGUUGUAAAAGGGUCAUUGGAAGGUGGCUUUCUUUCGGAGAAAGUGUUUAUAGCCUUUGACUUCUGCAAUCGGAGAGAUUGAGGUCUGCAGCGUAGAUCCUUCGGGGUUAGAUACAUUUGUGCUAAGUUAUAGCCUUUCAUAGACAACUUGUUGACUAUGAUCAGUCAUGUAGCUUACUCGCUUAUGCUAUUUUACCUACGCUUAGGAUGUUGACGAUCAGCUGAGCGCG
This 773-nucleotide ribosomal RNA is filed under the name uncultured Neocallimastigales. RNAcentral's name for it is "partial large subunit ribosomal RNA". It matches the Rfam family "Eukaryotic large subunit ribosomal RNA", at positions 26 to 646 of the family's 3401-position model. Lineage: Eukaryota; Fungi; Neocallimastigomycota; Neocallimastigomycetes; Neocallimastigales. The record is from RNAcentral.